This 456-nucleotide ribosomal RNA is filed under the name uncultured bacterium. Its description in RNAcentral is "bacterial SSU rRNA". It matches the Rfam family "Bacterial small subunit ribosomal RNA", at positions 28 to 492 of the family's 1533-position model. The record is from RNAcentral.
GAUGAACGCUGGCGGCGUGCUUAACACAUGCAAGUCGAACGAAGCAGAUUGAGAUCUUCGGAAGGAUAUCUGACUGAGUGGCGGACGGGUGAGUAACGCGUGGGUAACCUGCCUCAUACAGGGGGAUAACAGUUAGAAAUGACUGCUAAUACCGCAUAAGCGCACAGUACCGCAUGGUACGGUGUGAAAAACUCCGGUGGUAUGAGAUGGACCCGCGUCUGAUUAGCUAGUUGGUGGGGUAACGGCCUACCAAGGCGACGAUCAGUAGCCGACCUGAGAGGGUGACCGGCCACAUUGGGACUGAGACACGGCCCAAACUCCUACGGGAGGCAGCAGUGGGGAAUAUUGGCACAAUGGGCGAAAGCCUGAUGCAGCGACGCCGCGUGAGUGAAGAAGUAUUUCGGUAUGUAAAGCUCUAUCAGCAGGGAAGAAAAUGACGGUACCUGACUAAGAGCA